This 462-nucleotide ribosomal RNA is filed under the name Streptomyces sp. RNAcentral's name for it is "bacterial SSU rRNA". It matches the Rfam family "Bacterial small subunit ribosomal RNA", at positions 1003 to 1459 of the family's 1533-position model. Lineage: Bacteria; Bacillati; Actinomycetota; Actinomycetes; Kitasatosporales; Streptomycetaceae. The record is from RNAcentral.
GAGAUGGUCGCCCCCUUGUGGUCGGUGUACAGGUGGUGCAUGGCUGUCGUCAGCUCGUGUCGUGAGAUGUUGGGUUAAGUCUCGCAACGAGCGCAACCCUUGUCCCGUGUUGCCAGCAGGCCCUUGUGGUGCUGGGGACUCACGGGAGACCSCCGGGGUCAACUCGGAGGAAGGUGGGGACGACGUCAAGUCAUCAUGCCCCUUAUGUCUUGGGCUGCACACGUGCUACAAUGGCCGGUACAAUGAGCUGCGAUCCCGUGAGGUGGAGCGAAUCUCAAAAAGCCGGUCUCAGUUCGGAUUGGGGUCUGCAACUCGACCCCAUGAAGUCGGAGUCGCUAGUAAUCGCAGAUCAGCAUUGCUGCGGUGAAUGCGUUCCCGGGCCUUGUACACACCGCCCGUCACGUCACAAAUCGGUAACACCCGAAGCCGGUGUACCAACCCCUUGUGGGAGGGAGCUGUACG